RNAcentral lists this ribosomal RNA (492 nucleotides) under uncultured bacterium. RNAcentral describes it as "partial 16S ribosomal RNA". It matches the Rfam family "Bacterial small subunit ribosomal RNA", at positions 29 to 507 of the family's 1533-position model. The record is from RNAcentral.
AGUGAACGCUGGCGGUAGGCCUAACACAUGCAAGUCGAACGGCAGCACAGUAAGAGCUUGCUCUUACGGGUGGCGAGUGGCGGACGGGUGAGGAAUACAUCGGAAUCUACUUUUUCGUGGGGGAUAACGUAGGGAAACUUACGCUAAUACCGCAUACUACCUACGGGUGAAAGCAGGGGAUCUUCGGACCUUUCGCGAUUGAAUGAGCCGAUGUCGGAUUAGCUAGUUGGCGGGGUAAAGGCCCACCAAGGCGACGAUCCGUAGCUGGUCUGAGAGGAUGAUCGGCCACACUGGAACUGAGACACGGUCCAGACUCCUACGGGAGGCAGCAGUGGGGAAUAUUGGACAAUGGGCGCAAGCCUGAUCCAGCCAUACCGCGUGGGUGAAGAAGGCCUUCGGGUUGUAAAGCCCUUUUGUUGGGAAAGAAAAGCAGCAGGUUAAUACCCCGCUGUUCUGACGGUACCCAAAGAAUAAGCACCGGCUAACUUCGUG